Non-coding RNA from Megalopta genalis, 1091 nucleotides. NCBI's taxonomy places the organism in Eukaryota, Metazoa, Arthropoda, Insecta, Hymenoptera, Halictidae. The record is from RefSeq and is a predicted model, not a curated record.
AGCUUCGAGGGGUUGAAAAAGAUGAAACCGAGGAUAAAUACCCUUAGCUCGAGCUCGGAGCCCUCCUUGACGGUCAAAUCGUGCUCGCCGAUGCGGACGUAGAGGCGUUUCCUGAUGCAGUGGGCCGCGGUCAGCACCCAUCUAGGCGAGAUCAGCGUGCCUCCGCAGAAGGCCUCCUGAAGAAAGUACAGCCACUUGCCAGGGCCAGUUGCCGCGGACCGACGGUCUACCGCCGAUGAUCCUCGUGAAAUAAGACAACCGAGAGUUCUUCUGGGUGCUCGCGAUACCGCACCGCCAGGCGUUGAGAUUCUUCUCGGGGAUGAAGCUGUCCACCGUGUUCGGAGUCAGCUCGAACUCGUCCAGCACCAUGUCUGCGAACGCAAUUCGACGAACGCUACGCUUUACGAGAACGUCGCGGAUAGAUCAACUGAAGGAGAGUCUCUCACCGUCGCUGUCCUCUUCCUGUUUGGCGCGGAUCUUCCGGUGGAUCCAUCUUUGGCAGAAGCUACCCUCCACGUAGCAGUAGGCGCUCUGCCUUAUCACGUCGCGGCCGCAAAUGCCAGGCUUCUUGCACCACCUUUCGAGCAAUUCAGCAAUUAAAAGAGUUGUUAACAUUUUUUUUUUUAGUACUCUAUCCGUCGCCUCUGAUUCUUGGUCCAGAUAACUGCGUUCUAGAUCGUGUACGAACUUUCUAACUCGGGCCGACAAGUAAACUUUGCGAUCGAAAAUUCAUCCAGUUAAGAGACUACCGUGUUCACUAAUUGAUAUCCGACUUCGCCGACUAGGAUCGCUGAUAUUUGUGUACCUAUAGCGUUGCGUGGUGCAGAACCUCGUACACGGCGACCAUUUGCUCCACUUUCCGUAGUGACCCACGGACUUGUCUUUCACAUCCUUGCCUCUUCUCUCCCCUUGUCUCGGCUCCGCCUCUUUCUUAGGCAGCUGGAAUUAUUAUAAUAAUUUAUAGACGGACAAAUGGAUCCUUCGCGCGACCUUCCGGCCCAUAAUUUAAGGUAAUACGUUAUUACACACGUAUUAUACCAAGAUAGAAUUAACGAUAAGAUUAUAACGAAAUAAAAUAUUUUAACAAUCAA